Molecule: ribosomal RNA, 277 nt
Filed under: uncultured bacterium
Lineage: Bacteria
Description: partial 16S ribosomal RNA
Rfam family: Bacterial small subunit ribosomal RNA
Source: RNAcentral
AACGAACGCUGGCGGCAGGCCUCAAACAUGCAAGUCUAGGGGGUGUAGCAAUACAUCACCGGCGGACGGGUGCGUAACACGUGGGAAUGUACCUUUUGGUUCGGAACAACGUAGGGAAACUUGCGCUAAUACCGAAUGUGCCCGUAAGGGGAAAGAUUUAUCGCCAAAGGAUCAGCCCGCGUAGGAUUAGCUAGUUGGUGAGGUAAUGGCUCACCAAGGCUCCGAUCCUUAGCUGUUCUGAGAGGAAGAUCAGCCACACUGGGACUGAGACACGGCC